CUUCCUGCUUAGGAGAAUGGGGGGGGGCGUUGAGAAGGGGGAAGAGAAGUACAGAUGUAAUUUCCUUUUCUUUUUUUUUUUAAACUUCACUGCUCUGAGUCAGAAGCCAGAAUGGAUGUUCUACUUGUAGUCAUAACUGCUGUGCCGCUCAUCUUGGGACAAGAAUAUGAGGAAGAACAAAUAUAUGAAGAAAUAUAUGAAGAUUAUCAGGUGGUCUAUUAUACAGUCACUCCAUAUUAUGAUGACUUAGUCAACUUUACCUUUGACUAUUCCCAAUUUGAGGAGGAGGAUAGAAUGAACAUUGAGAAAGAAACUAUAACUGAAGCAGGAGACAGGAAGGUUAAUCCUGAGAAAAAACUUCCAGACAAUGGCAUACAGAAGACAACAGAACAAGCCAGUACUCUGUCCACUACACCACAUGAGAGAUUAUACACAAAGAAGAACUGGGGCCAAGAAGGAAAAGAAGAUGGUCCCAGAGACAGAGAAGGAUCUACCACAGAGGAGAGAGAAGGCUGCCAUGACUUCUUUGAACAGGGAGCUGGGGGUGGUGGUGGUGCAGAAACUGGAAAAAGAAAUAAAGAAUAAUUGAACCACAAAAAUUAUCUCAUUGACCUUCCAUAAGAUCUUCCCUUAGAGAAUCAUCAUAUUACUUCUUGGGCCAUUUGGGUGGGAAUGAGCCGUGAUUUUU
Molecule: long non-coding RNA, 688 nt
Filed under: Phascolarctos cinereus (koala)
Lineage: Eukaryota; Metazoa; Chordata; Mammalia; Diprotodontia; Phascolarctidae
Description: lncRNA (ENSPCIG00000008789.2)
Source: RNAcentral